UUGCCAUGAUGAUUUCAAAUUAUUAGGAAAGCAUUAUGCUAAUGCUUUGUGAUUGUUCGGCAUUAAUGCCGACCUGAGCAGUUACCUGAGCAA
Beta vulgaris subsp. vulgaris (sugar beet) is the source of this 93-nucleotide non-coding RNA. The record is from Rfam. Lineage: Eukaryota; Viridiplantae; Streptophyta; Magnoliopsida; Caryophyllales; Amaranthaceae.